This 66-nucleotide transfer RNA is filed under the name Eusthenes cupreus. Its description in RNAcentral is "tRNA-Ile". Lineage: Eukaryota; Metazoa; Arthropoda; Insecta; Hemiptera; Tessaratomidae. The record is from RNAcentral.
AGUAAGAUGCCUGACUUAAAAGGACUAUUUUGAUAGAAUAGAAUAUGUAAAUAAUUACUCUUAUUA